AAGAGUAUAUGUUCAGAGAUUAUUUCUGUAGUACUGUACUAAGAAAUCUCACUGAUGGUGUAGAGUACCAGAAGCCAGGAAGAGGAGAGGCAGAAUUCUCUCCAGAGUGUGAAGUCAGCUCUUGGUGUUGCUUUCCUGAAACUGCCAUUUGCCAUUGAUGAUUGUUCUUCUGUCCUUUUGGGAGAGUAAGAGGGAGAGGACACAGUCUGAGUGGC
Small nucleolar RNA from Dipodomys ordii (Ord's kangaroo rat), 215 nucleotides. Its record names the gene U3. It matches the Rfam family "Small nucleolar RNA U3". From Rfam's summary of the family: Small nucleolar RNAs (snoRNAs) are involved in the processing and modification of rRNA in the nucleolus. There are two main classes of snoRNAs: the box C/D class, and the box H/ACA class. The record is from Ensembl. NCBI's taxonomy places the organism in Eukaryota, Metazoa, Chordata, Mammalia, Rodentia, Heteromyidae.